RNAcentral lists this RNase P RNA (397 nucleotides) under Cellulomonas sp. RNAcentral describes it as "RNase P RNA component class A". It matches the Rfam family "Bacterial RNase P class A". Rfam says of the family: Ribonuclease P (RNase P) is a ubiquitous endoribonuclease, found in archaea, bacteria and eukarya as well as chloroplasts and mitochondria. Its best characterised activity is the generation of mature 5'-ends of tRNAs by cleaving the 5'-leader elements of precursor-tRNAs. Cellular RNase Ps are ribonucleoproteins. Lineage: Bacteria; Bacillati; Actinomycetota; Actinomycetes; Micrococcales; Cellulomonadaceae. RNAcentral also lists the same sequence under 1 other name. The record is from RNAcentral.
UGAGUCAGCCAGGCGGCCGCGUCGGUCCGACCCUCGGGUCGGUCCGCCGAGGAACGUCCGGGCUCCGUAGGGCAGGGUGGUGGGUAACACCCACCCGGGGUGACCCGCGGGACAGUGCCACAGAGAACAGACCGCCUCCCCGGACCGGUUCGCCGGACCGGGGCGGUAAGGGUGAAACGGUGGUGCAAGAGACCACCAGCGCACCGGGUGACCGGUGCGGCUCGGUAAACCCCACCCGGAGCAAGGUCAGACAGGGAGUGCUCGAGGGCUGCCCGCCCGAGCUCCCGGGUAGACCGCUGGAGGCGUGCGGCAACGUACGUCGUAGAUGGAUGGCCGUCACCUGUGCGCGGGCAACUGCGCACGGGGACAGAACCCGGCGUAUCGGCUGACUCAUCCG